UUCAUUUACCCGUUUGAUUGGUAAUGAUUGUUGCUCCCUUUGAUUGGUCAUCAUUAUAUACCUAGUUGUGGUAUCCCGAUGCCUUUAUUUUCGGUUGAUUUAUCCUUUAUUAACCCAGUAACCGGUUGUGGAUAAUCUUCCAUGCGAGUAUACUAUCCACAUUCUGACGGUAAUGGAUAAUAUAUCUCAUGCACUCUUCAGUCGAAGCCUGUUGUGUUUCCCCUUUAUCCUUUAUUAACCCAGUAACCGGUUGUGGAUAAUCUUCCAUGCGAGUAUACUAUCCACAUUCUGACGGUAAUGGAUAAUAUAUCUCAUGCACUCUUCAGUCGAAGC
RNAcentral lists this long non-coding RNA (333 nucleotides) under Lathyrus oleraceus (garden pea). RNAcentral describes it as "Pisum sativum (pea) long non-coding RNA (PSAT_LNC006550)". The record is from RNAcentral. Lineage: Eukaryota; Viridiplantae; Streptophyta; Magnoliopsida; Fabales; Fabaceae.